UUUUGAUUUAUAUACGGAGUA
RNAcentral lists this non-coding RNA (21 nucleotides) under Caenorhabditis elegans. Lineage: Eukaryota; Metazoa; Nematoda; Chromadorea; Rhabditida; Rhabditidae. The record is from RNAcentral.